UGAUGUCGCACUGGGGUUGGGUGGGUCCCUAAUCCAAUUGGACUGGCAUCUUUAUAAAUUUGGGGAAGUUUGGCACAGAUGUGCACACGGGGCGAACGUGCCUUAUGAAAAUGAAAGCAGAGAUCGGGGUGAUAGGGCCGAAGCCAAGAGCCCCAAAGACUGCCCACGAACUUCCAGAAGCAAGGAGGCUAGCCAAGGAGUCUGGCAUGGAACAGAUUCUCGCUCACAGCCCUCAGGAGGACCCAACCUUGUGGAUGCCUUGAUCUUGGACUUCUGGCCCCAGAACUGCGAGAGACUCAGUAUGUGGUGUUUCGGCCCCUUGUUGUGGCACUUGCUUACGGCAGCCCUGUGAAGCUCACGCAAAGGGCAUUGGCAUGGAGGGGAAAGAGAAAGAACUGCCCGGUGGCAUCUAAUGAACUGGAGAGAUUCUGGGUGUUGAGAGGAGAGAGAGAGCGUACAGGUGGGAAGAGUGGCAGGCAGAGAGAGAGGGAGAAGCGGACCUCGCCCCCAGCCACGAUACGAGGAAACUGAGGCCCAGGGAGAGAGAUGGGUGGUUCGAGGUGAUACUGCUGUGCCUGGGCACAGCAAGAACAGCAGAAAUCUCCUGAAUCUUGUUUCGGGGUGUCCAGCACCACGGGGUACUACCUUCCUGGAUCUAUCAGAGUCUUGCAGAAAGUCCAGAGUCUCAUGGAUGGAACAAAUGUCUUUGGAGGAAAUCAGCCACCAGGAGCUAAGAAUCUGUAUUUGGUAUCUCAGCACUGCUGGAGGUGGUGAAAGAGGAGAGAGAACAGACACAAAAAGACUGAGGCUGAGCCCCAGUCAAAGGGUGGGGUUGGAAACUUUCGGGUUGCUUGGUGGUAUUUUGAGACCUCAGUUGACUUUAAUGACUUCCUCUGUAAGAAUAAGAUAAGCAGACAAGACUGGGGCCCCAGUAGCAUCAAGAGUUGAUUCUCAAGUUGAUUCUCCAAGAUCAUACCUGUCACAACCACAGUGCAUGGAGGGAACAUGUGGAUGUUGAGUGUGGACCUUGCCCUUAGCCAGGGGUUGGUUAGAAGGAUGGCUGGGAGGGGAUCCCCGGGUGGCUCAGGGAUUUAGCGCCUAGGGCAUGAUCCUGGAGUCCUGGGAUCAAUCCAUCCCUGCAUGGAGCCUGCUUCUCCCUCUGCCUGUGUCUCUGUCUCUGUCUCUCUCUGAAUCUCAUAAACAAAUUUAAAAAAAUUAAAAAAAAGAAGGAUGGCUGGAUGGGUGUCACAGCUUCUGUGUCAUCUCCUUCUUCAAAGGGUCUCUUUCCCUGUUUUUAAGAGCCUAGUGUUAAGACGAUUCCUACACCAGGCUGGCAGGGAACAACCAUGAACCACAUAAAUAUAUCCAUUAAAACCAAACUAAAUGUAUCUUCAACUCAAUUUCU
Molecule: long non-coding RNA, 1405 nt
Organism: Canis lupus familiaris (dog)
Lineage: Eukaryota; Metazoa; Chordata; Mammalia; Carnivora; Canidae
Exons: 4
Source: RefSeq, a predicted model, not a curated record